GACUGCAGCUGGAAAAUGGCGGCGUCCGUGGUCUGUCGGGCCGCUACCGCCGGGGCACAAGUGCUAUUGCGCGCCCGCCGCUCGGUGAGGUGGUGGUGAGAGCGCGGGGCUUCGGGACAGGGCUUCGGGAAGCGGACGGCCGGCCCUGCUGCGGACGCCAGCCUUGCGGAGUACGGCAACCUUCGCUCAGGCGCUCCAGUUCGUGCCGGAGACGCAGGUUAGCCUGCUGGACAACGGCCUGCGUGUGGCCUCCGAGCAGUCCUCUCAGCCCACUUGCACGGUGGGAGUGUGGAUUGAUGUUGGCAGCCGUUUUGAGACUGAGAAGAAUAAUGGGGCGGGCUACUUUUUGGAGCAUCUGGCUUUCAAGGGAACAAAGAAUCGGCCUGGCAGUGCCCUGGAGAAGGAGGUGGAGAGCAUGGGGGCCCAUCUUAAUGCCUACAGCACCCGGGAGCACACAGCUUACUACAUCAAGGCGCUGUCCAAGGAUCUGCCGAAAGCUGUGGAGCUCCUGGGUGACAUUGUGCAGAACUGUAGUCUGGAAGACUCACAGAUUGAGAAGGAACGUGAUGUGAUCCUGCGGGAGAUGCAGGAGAAUGAUGCAUCUAUGCGAGAUGUGGUCUUUAACUACCUGCAUGCCACAGCAUUCCAGGGCACACCUCUAGCCCAGGCUGUGGAGGGGCCCAGUGAGAAUGUCAGGUGAGAGUUGGCUGGCCUUGUGGUGGGAUGCUUGCUCCAUUCUGGCCUGGCCAGACCCUUUCCAGGUCACAUUUUUAGUUGGCUAGCUGUCUGUCGGGGUUAUUUUCCUGAGUUAUGCAACUGGAGACAGUUUCUGUAUCCAUGUGGUCCAGUGAGUCUUUUUUAAUGGCUUUGUGGGCUUCACUUGAAUUUUGGGCUUUGUUUUAAGGUAUGUUUUGGUGCAUGUCCUGACAGUCCAA
Molecule: small RNA, 935 nt
Filed under: Pan troglodytes (chimpanzee)
Lineage: Eukaryota; Metazoa; Chordata; Mammalia; Primates; Hominidae
Description: retained intron
Source: RNAcentral